CCCCCCUUAGCUCAGUUGGUUAGAGCAGGCGACUCAUAAUCGCUUGGUCGCUGGUUCAAGUCCGGCAGGGGGGA
Molecule: transfer RNA, 74 nt
Filed under: Pasteurella bettyae CCUG 2042
Lineage: Bacteria; Pseudomonadati; Pseudomonadota; Gammaproteobacteria; Pasteurellales; Pasteurellaceae
Rfam family: tRNA
About the family: Transfer RNA (tRNA) molecules are approximately 80 nucleotides in length. Their secondary structure includes four short double-helical elements and three loops (D, anti-codon, and T loops). Further hydrogen bonds mediate the characteristic L-shaped molecular structure. tRNAs have two regions of fundamental functional importance: the anti-codon, which is responsible for specific mRNA codon recognition, and the 3' end, to which the tRNAs corresponding amino acid is attached (by aminoacyl-tRNA synthetases). tRNAs cope with the degeneracy of the genetic code in two manners: having more than one tRNA (with a specific anti-codon) for a particular amino acid; and 'wobble' base-pairing, i.e. permitting non-standard base-pairing at the 3rd anti-codon position.
Source: Rfam by way of RNAcentral